ACGGAGGGUGCGAGCGUUGUUCGGAAUUACUGGGCGUAAAGCGUACGUAGGCGGUUGGUUAAGUCGAAUGUUAAAGCUCGGAGCUCAACUCCGUAGAUGCAUUCGAUACUGGUCAACUAGAGGGUGGCAGAGGAAAGCGGAAUUCCAAGUGUAGCGGUGAAAUGCGUAGAUAUUUGGAGGAACAUCGGUAGCGAAAGCGGCUUUCUGGACCAUUCCUGACGCUGAGGUACGAAAGCGUGGGUAGCAAACAGG
Molecule: ribosomal RNA, 252 nt
Filed under: uncultured bacterium
Lineage: Bacteria
Description: partial 16S ribosomal RNA
Rfam family: Bacterial small subunit ribosomal RNA
Source: RNAcentral